Molecule: ribosomal RNA, 443 nt
Filed under: uncultured bacterium
Lineage: Bacteria
Description: partial 16S ribosomal RNA
Rfam family: Bacterial small subunit ribosomal RNA
Source: RNAcentral
CCUACGGGAGGCAGCAGUGGGGAAUAUUGGGCAAUGGAGGCAACUCUGACCCAGCAACGCCGCGUGAGUGAUGAAGGUCUUCGGAUUGUAAAGUUCUGUGAUGGGGGAUGAACACAAUGACGGUACCCCAAUAGCAAGCCACGGCUAACUACGAGCCAGCAGCCGCGUUAAUACGUAGGUGGCAAGCGUUAUCCGGAAUGACUGGGCGUAAGGGGUGCGUAGGUGGUUUAGUAAGUUGGCGGUGUAAUUCCGGGGCUCAACCUCGGCGCUACCGCCAAAACUAGUAGACUAGAGUGCAGGAGGGGUAAGUGGAAUGCCUAGUGUAGCGGUGGAAUGCGUAGAUAUUAGGAGGAACAUCAGGGGCGAAGGCGACUUACUGGACUGUAACUGACACUGAGGCACGAAAGCGUGGGGAGCAAACAGGAUUAGAUACCCUAGUAGUC